UUUAGGAAAAUGCAUCUGCUCAGGUCAAUAAGUGUACAAAUGUUUUUGCUUCUACCAGUUCUACAAGUUCCACCAUUGUUAAGGAAAAUGCAUCUACUCAAUAUGAAAAAAGUGUAGAUAAAAAUGAUUCUGCCUCCACCAUUGUUAAGGAAAAUGCAUCUGCUCAGGUCAAUAAGUGUACAAAUGUUUUUGCUUCUACCAGUUCUACAAGUUCCACCAUUGUUAAGGAAAAUGCAUCUACUCAAGAUGAAAAAAGAGUAGAUAAAAAUGAUUCUGCCUCCAACA
Molecule: long non-coding RNA, 285 nt
Organism: Acyrthosiphon pisum (pea aphid)
Lineage: Eukaryota; Metazoa; Arthropoda; Insecta; Hemiptera; Aphididae
Exons: 4
Source: RefSeq, a predicted model, not a curated record